Fibrobacter sp. is the source of this 382-nucleotide non-coding RNA. Lineage: Bacteria; Pseudomonadati; Fibrobacterota; Fibrobacteria; Fibrobacterales; Fibrobacteraceae. The record is from Rfam.
GCGGGACAACGGAUGGCCGCUCUUACGAAAGCAAGGGAGGAAAGUCCGGGCACCGCAAGGCAGGAUGCUGGAUAACGUCCAGGCGCAGAAAUGCGACGGAAAGCGCAGCAGAAAACAAACCGCCUUUUUGAAGUUCGCUUCAAAGGCAAGGGUGAAAUGGCGAGGUAAGAGCUCACCGCAUUUCUGGAGACAGAAAUGGCACGGCAAGCCCCAUCCGGUGCAAGACCAAGCAGAAUUCCGCUCCGAUUACGGAGCCUGGGUAGCCUUUUCCAGUCGGAAUUCGGGUAGGUUGCUCGAGGCCGUCAGCAAUGGCGUGCCCAGAUAGAUGGUCAUCGCCGACUCUAUGCCGGCACAGAACCCGGCUUAUAGUUGUCCCUAUUAU